CAUGUAGACGUAAGAUAUAAGCGUAAGGAAAACCAGUCGAGUAUUGGAUUUUUCAUAACUUCCACUUUUGUGGAAAAUAAAACUUAAAACGUAACAUCAAAAAAUUUCAUAAGAAUGAAAUUUGUACGGUAUAGGUCUUCUAGACAACCAAUCACAAGUCACGACAGAUUAUGCGCUUUAAUUUGAAAUUUAAUGCUGAAAGUUAGUGAGGUUAUAUGUUUACGAAAUUUAUCUUAGAAAUAUGAGUGAUCAUAAUUAAUAUUGUAAAAUGGUUAAUAAUUUUGGAAAUGAACUUUAAUUAAGAAAAGAAAAAACUUAGUUAAACAUAAUACGUUUUAGGGCAUGAAAUUUGUCACUGUUUAGAAAAUGUGUAUGGCCAGCCUGAUACGUAAUAUAGGCUGAAGCAAUGUAUUAUAUAUUGACAAGCAUUCAUUGAAAAGUAUGAAAUCUUUUGGAUUUUAAUAUAAUGUGAACUUUAAUAUGGCAAAACAAAAGAGCAGCCAAUGUAUUUGAGCGUUUCGAAAAUGACCAAAGGUUAAUAAACCACCGAAAAAACUUCCAAAAAAUGGAUUGGAAAGAAAGUGUCUACCGAGCCAGAAAAAAAGCAUUGAAGGCGUGCAAAAUUUAACAAUAUAACCUUCCAACUACAUUAAAUAUGUGUGGAUCAAGUAUAUAUAAUCUAAUUGUACCAUUCACUAGUAUGGAUGAUUUACAAGAUUCGAAGGUAUCUGCUACAAGUAAGGAUUUAUUUAUUGGUUUGGUUGAACCUAAUGAAUAUAAUUUUUUUAUAAAGAUGGGUAAAUGGUGCUAUCUGUAUAACAGAAAAGCAUCAAAAGCAGAAUAUUUCAUUAUACAGAAUGGACAUCAAUAGAUAUAAUACUUUUGGAAGAAGUAAAUCUGUAAUUAACCUAAAGCAGUUCCUUUAAUGUUUAUGACAUAUCAUUUUGUCAUAAAAGAAGAAGUUGAUGAUUUGUCAUCGGAAAUGUCAUCAAAGCAAACAUGAUUCUAAAUGAUAAUUUUGGAUCAUGUUGAAUAUAUUUUGUCAGAUAUUGAAAACAAAGUUAAAGUUGUUCGAGACACAAUAGAAAAGCACCAUGGCCAUACCUAGGAAUUGGUGCUUCUGAUACCCAUAAUAAAUCCAUAUUACAUGCCAAAACUGGAAUGUGUGGAUAUGGAAUGUCACUGGGCAAUUUACUUGGCAUUCCAUUAGUCAUUAAAAGAUCCACUAUGAGUUGCAACGGAGUUUCCCAAGAUAUUGGUUCACUGAAUAACAGGAUACCUUCUAUUUUUGGAAAAUUAGAAUCUAUUGGUCCACACUGUGGAUUUCUCUUUAACAUAUUGACAUAAUCCAAACUUGGAAAAUUUUUCACGAGUUCUUCGAUCGUCAUAGUUUUCUUAAAACCCAACUCUUUGGCUAUUUCUCUGACUGGACCUUGUCCUGAUAUAAGAACAUGCUUGUCAUGAAGGUCAUGAAACAUUUGCAAUGGAGAAUGAGCUAAGAUAACUUGUGAUUCUGAUAUUUCAAAUCCAAUCCAUUUGGAUAAAUCGGCUGCUUUUUGACUACGUAAAGCAUUUCCACUGUUUGUAACAAAGACAGUAGGAACACGAAAUUUGCCAUCCUCUCCUCUAAGUUUUUUAAAGGAUUCUACAACUGGUGGUAAAACAUUUUUACCACGUACUAUAACUCCAUCGAUGUCAAAUAAUAAACCAAACUUUGGUUUAGUGCUUAAGUUCUGAAAAUAAAAUAAAUAGAUAAAUUUUAUAUAACAUCUUAGAAGUUAUGAUUAUUUUGCUCAGAUUGCAUUGUAUUUAUAUCAUGCUUUAUGUCAGAAUAAGACUUUGAAAUACAUUUCAAUGCCACUGAGUAAAUAUAAAAAUAUACUUACCUUGUUGGUAAAGACAUUAGGUAAGUAUAUUUUUAUACCAAAUGGCGAAAUACAUACAGUGUGUGUGUAUAUAUACAUUCGAACACGCGCGCGCGCACGCACACUCACACACAGAGUAUAAUCAAAGUCCAAAAGACCCAUGCACAUUUUUACAAAUAGAAAAGAUAAUAGAUUUUUAAAUCUUAAAGAACUAAAUAGGUCAUUAUGUCAGUAAUUCUACUUGUAUUUUAUCACUUUUACUUUAUUAUACAUUUUGUUGUUACAAUAUUGUUACAAAACAAUGCUAUAUAUAUUAAAAUACAAUAUAAAGAAAUAAAAGUAAACAAUUAAAAAGAUAAAAGACAUUCAAAUAUAAAAUAAGAAAGAAAGAUAACAUAAUGAUGCAUAAAUAAAGAUAAAAAACGAACGAAUAUUACAGAAUAAUACAAAUAAAAUUACUCGAAAUGAUUGAAGAGAAGCUAAUUUCAAAUAACGAUAUGAUACUUGUAUCAUAUUGAUUGGAUAUAUUGUUCGGAAAAGCCAAAAAAUUAAAAAAAAAAAACAAGCGAAUGUAUGUACUGUGUAAAUUCAAGGGUAGGGCAGGAGACGAAACAAAUUGAAUGAUGACAACGUAAACUUACUCUGACUCCGAAAGCCCUCGCGAUACCCGAUCGUAAUAAUAUUUUCAUUAUUACUAAUUUAAUCACAACAAUUAAAAAAUAAAAAACGAGAGCUUAUGAGUAUCUAAAAAUUUCUUUUUAUAUGUUUAACUUUCAAACACUACGUUGCGUAGAUGUAUUAUUCAUAGUGCCAAAGUGUUUUGAGGUUAUAGUCGAUCUACAAAAUCAACCAAACUUACGCUACGUUGUGAUCGUAGUUUUCAAAGGAGCUUCACCAUACAUCACACUGAACCACCUCGUAAUAGCGCAAACGAAAUCCAUCAAAUAUCUUGGGCUGCCACUUGGACUCUAAACUUACUUAAAAACAGUGUAUAUAUAUAUAUAUAUAUAUAUAUAUAUAUAUAUAUAUAUAUAUACACAUAUAUAUAUAUAUAAAAUGUAUGUAUGGCUUACCAGUAAACAUUCUAAAUUAUCACCUAAAAAUAUACUAUUGCUAUAUAAAGCAAUAAUUAAACCUAUUUGGACUUACGGUAUACAACUUUGGGGUAUGGUAGCCAAGAGUCAUAUUCAAAAGUUAGAAUCACUACAAGCUAUAAUCUUUAGUACGUUUAUUAUGCUCUAUGGUACAUAUACAAUAACGAUAUUCAUAAAGAUCUAAACAUGUUAUCGAUUUCUGACGAAAUUAGGGGACUAUGUGAAAUUUAUAAAAAUUGACUUGAACAACAUCACAACGCUACUGCAAAAGAACUAUACUCCUUCGAACAACUUUGAAUAACAUAGAAGACUAUGUAAGAAACAUUCCAUUGAUCUACUACAUAGUCUAUAAACAUCAUUAAACUAUACUAUCAUAACUGUACCUAGCAUAUAUAUUUUAUGCUUCUCCAUGGGUUAAGUGUUAUAAUCAACUGUUAAAAUAAUUUACUGAAUGUCCUAGCUGGACAAAUUGUAAAGAAUAGUGGUCGAAACAAAAAAAAAAUUAUUUAUAUGAAUAGUAACAAUUUAUUAUUUAAGAAUUAGUAACAAUUUAAUGUUUAAGAAUGUGCGCGCGCGUGUGUCUAUAAUUUAUAUAUAUGCAUAGAAUAUUUUCUAAAAAGAGAGAAAGAGAAAACGAGAUUUUUUAAAAGUAAUUUCCAUGAAGAAAUCUUUCUUAAAUAAGAACUAGAAUAAGUAUUAUAAGUAUUUGUAUUUCUAAUUUUAUAUCAUAGUAAAUAUAAUUAAGCAUUAAUAUUUUGUAUUGUAUAUAUUUAAUAUUUGAUGGAUUAUAACGAUAAUGUUAUAGUUUCUAAUUUUAUCCUUAAGAACAUUGUGUGUAGAACAACUUAAUAUUCUUAUUUUUCUAAUAUACAUAAAAAAGAAUCAAUAAUAAUUAAAAAUAUAUAUUCACUUAUAUUAAGAUCUUGAUUUCCAUCAUUAUUGUUAUAUGUAGUGAUACACAUAAAAGGUGAUACAAAUAAAAAUUGAGUAGCUCCAAGGGAGGCAUAUUUUGAUGUUAUUAGUUUUUUUGUAGGUUGAUGCAUAAAAAUCAUAUGAAGGUCAACUUUGUUUCUGAAAGUGGAAUCAUAUAUUUUUUAAUUUAUUAAUUGAUAUAUUUAUUAAUAAAUUUAACAUUCUCAGCUCACUUUAUAAAAAAAUAUUAAUUCAUAUAUCGAAAAAUUCUUAGUUUAGGAAAUAUUUUAAUUUAAAUAUUGCUAAAAAAUUAUCACUCUUAUUACUUGUUUACUAUUGUUACUCCUACUACCUUUUAGUAUUUACUAAAUAUCAUGUACAUGGUUUCUUAGCAAUAUUAAAAUUAAAAUAUCUCCUAAGCUAAUGGUCUUUCGGCAUGAAUAAGUUAAUAGUUUUUUAUAGAGAAUAUAGAGAUGGAUUGACUAAUACAUUAAAGAUUAUAUGAUCCCUGUUAUAUUUUACAGUGUAACUGUUAUAUUUUACUGUAUAAAUAUUCCUCGAAAGGAAUUAGAGAUUUUUUGAAGUGAAACUUAUAAUUUGUAUGAUGAAAUUUGUAAUUUAAGAGAGAUAAAUACUUUUAUUUAUACGUACAAGUAUUAAUGAUGAAAUGUUAUAAGUUUGGUAAAUUAAUUCAUUCUACUAGGGAUUAUUACUUAUUUAUUAUUGAAGGUUCUGCUAUAAGAAUGGAAAUAGUGAGAUCUGUGGUCUUACAGAAUUUUUGUAAUUUUUUAUAUUUAUAGCAGGUAAAGGUCUUGAUGCAGACUUUAAUUUGAAACUACAGUAACACGUACUUCUUAGCUGUGUUCAAAAAAAUUGAUUGAUGAAAAAUGCAGAGUAACUUAUAACAUAUCUGAGGAGUAGAUGUUAAUCCUUUAAUGUCAUCUUUCUUAAAUAAGAACUAGAACAAUAAAAAAAUAUGGAAAAAUUAUUUUUCCUAUAUAUAUAUCAUAUAUAUAUAUAUACAAGAUCUUUUUGAAACAUACUUAGAAUAUGAUGAAACUUGUCAACAUAUUAUUACAUUUAUUCCACGCGUCAGCUAUUUUGUUUGCAAAGAUUAAUGGAAACCUGCAUGUAAUUGAAAGAAAAUAAAUUUUAUUUUCACUAAAAUAAUCAGUUUUGUUUGAAAAUAUUAUUUCACUAAUUACGGUCAAAAGUUAAUUUGUUCUUUAUUAAAAAAUUAUAAGAUGCCACAGGCAUUAUGUAAAAAAUUUAUUUCACCGCAAUAUAAUUUGACUUGCACUAAUUUUAUCAUUGAUUAAAUAUUGAGUUCAAACUUUGAUUCUAAUAUUUGUUUUAAACAUUUCUUCUAAAUUUUCUGAUUUUAAACUGAUAAUUCUCUCAGUCACUUUAUGUACUCUUCAACUAGCUUCCCAAAACUACCUUAUAUCAACAAAGUAUUAAAAUUUUGAUAUGGAGAUACAUGAUUCAAUGCAUAACAUUCUUGUAAUCGUUGGAUUACAGAUUUGAAUCUGUCAGUACUAUUCUUUUUUAUUCUUCUGUUUUUUAUUCAUUUUAAUACUUAGA
Molecule: long non-coding RNA, 5455 nt
Organism: Vespula vulgaris
Lineage: Eukaryota; Metazoa; Arthropoda; Insecta; Hymenoptera; Vespidae
Exons: 4
Source: RefSeq, a predicted model, not a curated record